UGAAGAGGGAAGAGCCCAAGAUUGAAAGCUGGCGUCUUCGGCGUCCGCAUUGUAAUCUCAAGAAGUGUUUUCCGCUUCGGACCAAGCCUAAGUCCCUUGGAAAAGGGCAUCAUAGAGGGUGAUAAUCCCGUACAUGGCUUGGAGCGCCCGAGGCUUUGUGAUACGCUUUCUAAGAGUCGAGUUGUUUGGGAAUGCAGCUCAAAAUGGGUGGUAAAUGCCAUCUAAGGCUAAAUAUUGGGGAGAGACCGAUAGCGAACAAGUACAGUGAUGGAAAGAUGAAAAGAACUUUGAAAAGAGAGUUAAACAGUACGUGAAAUUGCCAAAAGGGAAGGGUAGGAGGUCAGAGAUGCGGUCUGGGAUUCAGCCUUGCUUUUUCGCUUGGUGUUUUUCCCAGAUGGCAGGCCAACGUCGGUUUUGGGCACUGGAGAAGGGUAGGAGGAACGUGGCACCUCUCGGGGUGUGUUAUAGCCUCCUACUGGAUACAGCGACCGAGACCGAGGAACGCAGCGUACUCGCAAGAGCGGGCCCUCGGGCACCUUUACGCUUAGGGCGUUGGCAUAAUGGCCCUCUACCACCCGUCUUGAAACACGGACCAAGGAGUCUAACAUGUAUGCGAGUCUUUGGGUGGCAAACCCAUAGGCGCAAUGAAAGUGAAUUCAGGUGGGAUCCGCAAGGUGCACCAUCGACCGAUCCUCACGUCUUUUAAGUCGUGGAUUUGAGUAAGAGCAUACCUGUUGGGACCCGAAAGAUGGUGAACUAUGCCUGAAUAGGGUGAAGCCAGAGGAAACUCUGGUGGAGGCUCGUAGCGGUUCUGACGUGCAAAUCGAUCGUCAAAUUUGGGUAUAGGGGCGAAAGACUAAUCGAACCAUUGUAACAAUGUAUGCUAGGUGGUUAAGAGGUGGCAUGAAAGUGCGCACCUAGUGGACGCUGAAGUUCGCGACACUGUCAAAAUGCGGGGACACCCUAAAGCUUUCAAUACCAAGCCGGCGUGGAAACACAGUCGGUGGCCGAGCUAAUAGCCCUGGGUAUGGUAAAAACUUGAAAGAUGUCACAAUGGGCAAUCCGCAGCCAAGCUCUAAGGGGUCUUCUUCUUCGCAAGAAGAUCCUAUGAGUGCAGUUCACAGACUAGAUGGCAGUGGGUUCUUCUUCUCUCUUCGCGAGAGACGAGGGGCUUAAGAUAUAGUCGGUCCUUCCGCGAAAGCGGACCGGGGGACGAAAGAUCGAGAUCCUUCAGCGAUAGAUCUCUUUCCGGAGCCUCUGGGAGUUGCAGCAAGCAGCUUUGGGUGCUACGCUAGUAGCUGGUUCCUGCCGAAGUUUCCCUCAGGAUAGCAGAAACUCACAUCAGUUUUAUGAGGUAAAGCGAAUGAUUAGAGGCCUUGGGGAAGUAACUUCCUUAACCUAUUCUCAAACUUUAAAUGUGUAAGAAGCCCUUGUUACUUAA
Molecule: ribosomal RNA, 1441 nt
Filed under: Macalpinomyces langdonii
Lineage: Eukaryota; Fungi; Basidiomycota; Ustilaginomycetes; Ustilaginales; Ustilaginaceae
Description: eukaryotic LSU rRNA
Rfam family: Eukaryotic large subunit ribosomal RNA
Source: RNAcentral